UUCCUCGGCCCACAUGUAGAAACAGGCAUAUAAAGAAUAUUGAAGCCCCGUUAGUGUGCAGGUUACAAAGGAGUCAGCCGUGGUUAACAUCACGGCAAAUGUGGGCUACAGAGGAGAAAGCGGUCUUUGAGGGAAGUGCGGAUGGCCAUUUGUGAAAGAUGUUGCAGCAUCAGAAUGCAGAAAGGGACACCUCUUGGGGCAGAUCAAUGAAAUUGGCAUCUUCUCAUGUCCUGGGGAGAAGGAGAGACAGCACACUUAAGAACAAAGACAGGGACACCUCUGAAUAGCUUCUCUACCUCCUCUCAACAAUCCUACA
Sarcophilus harrisii (Tasmanian devil) is the source of this 316-nucleotide long non-coding RNA. RefSeq lists it as uncharacterized. The transcript is spliced from 3 exons. NCBI's taxonomy places the organism in Eukaryota, Metazoa, Chordata, Mammalia, Dasyuromorphia, Dasyuridae. The record is from RefSeq and is a predicted model, not a curated record.